RNAcentral lists this ribosomal RNA (465 nucleotides) under Vreelandella stevensii. RNAcentral describes it as "partial 16S ribosomal RNA". It matches the Rfam family "Bacterial small subunit ribosomal RNA", at positions 338 to 795 of the family's 1533-position model. The record is from RNAcentral. Lineage: Bacteria; Pseudomonadati; Pseudomonadota; Gammaproteobacteria; Oceanospirillales; Halomonadaceae.
CCUACGGGGGGCAGCAGUGGGGAAUAUUGGACAAUGGGCGAAAGCCUGAUCCAGCCAUGCCGCGUGUGUGAAGAAGGCCUUCGGGUUGUAAAGCACUUUCAGUGGGGAAGAAAGCCUUGGGGCUAAUACCCUCGAGGAAGGACAUCACCCACAGAAGAAGCACCGGCUAACUCCGUGCCAGCAGCCGCGGUAAUACGGAGGGUGCGAGCGUUAAUCGGAAUUACUGGGCGUAAAGCGCGCGUAGGCGGUCUGAUAAGCCGGUUGUGAAAGCCCCGGGCUCAACCUGGGAACGGCAUCCGGAACUGUCAGGCUAGAGUGCAGGAGAGGAAGGUAGAAUUCCCGGUGUAGCGGUGAAAUGCGUAGAGAUCGGGAGGAAUACCAGUGGCGAAGGCGGCCUUCUGGACUGACACUGACGCUGAGGGGCGAAAGCGUGGGUAGCAAACAGGAUUAGAUACCCCAGUAGUC